UGGGGAAUCUUGCGCAAUGGGCGAAAGCCUGACGCAGCAACGCCGCGUGGGGGAUGAAGGCCUUCGGGUUGUAAACCCCUUUCAGCAGGGACGAAAUUGACGGUACCUGCAGAAGAAGCCCCGGCCAACUACGUGCCAGCAGCCGCGGUAAUACGUAGGGGGCAAGCGUUGUCCGGAUUUAUUGGGCGUAAAGAGCUCGUAGGCGGCUUGGCAAGUCGGGUGUGAAACCUCCAGGCUCAACCUGGAGCUGCCACUCGAUACUGCUAUGGCUUGAGUCCGGUAGGGGACCACGGAAUUCCUGGUGUAGCGGUGAAAUGCGCAGAUAUCAGGAGGAACACCAGUGGCGAAGGCGGUGGUCUGGGCCGGAACUGACGCUGAGGAGCGAAAGCGUGGGUAGCAAACAGGAUUAGAUACCCGUGUAGUCC
RNAcentral lists this ribosomal RNA (425 nucleotides) under uncultured bacterium. RNAcentral's name for it is "bacterial SSU rRNA". It matches the Rfam family "Bacterial small subunit ribosomal RNA", at positions 355 to 796 of the family's 1533-position model. The record is from RNAcentral.